UGGGGAAUAUUGCACAAUGGAGGGAACUCUGAUGCAGCGACGCCGCGUGAACGAAGAAGGCUUUCGAGUCGUAAAGUUCUUUUAUAUGGGAAGAUAAUGACGGUACCAUAAGAAAAAGCCCCGGCUAACUACGUGCCAGCAGCCGCGGUAAUACGUAGGGGGCUAGCGUUGUCCGGAAUCACUGGGCGUAAAGGGUUCGCAGGCGGAAAUGCAAGUCAGAUGUAAAAGGCAGUAGCUUAACUACUGUAAGCAUUUGAAACUGCAUAUCUUGAGAAGAGUAGAGGUAAGUGGAAUUUUUAGUGUAGCGGUGAAAUGCGUAGAUAUUAAAAAGAAUACCGGUGGCGAAGGCGACUUACUGGGCUCAUUCUGGCGCUGAGGAACGAAAGCGUGGGUAGCAAACAGG
RNAcentral lists this ribosomal RNA (403 nucleotides) under Fusobacteriota bacterium. Its description in RNAcentral is "Fusobacteria bacterium partial 16S ribosomal RNA". It matches the Rfam family "Bacterial small subunit ribosomal RNA", at positions 355 to 776 of the family's 1533-position model. Lineage: Bacteria; Fusobacteriati; Fusobacteriota. The record is from RNAcentral.